CCGACCGGAGAUUCUUUUUUUCUUGUAAUGGCGGACCAACCGAGAGUCGAAGCGAUGGAGGAGUACAGUUUUAAAUGGUCCAAGGAGCAGACAGAAGCUUUUAUAAAGCUGAGGGAAAAAAUGAACACCUCUUCACGGGGUGUAAGAAUUCAGCCGCUGUGGGAUGGAGG
Molecule: long non-coding RNA, 170 nt
Organism: Austrofundulus limnaeus
Lineage: Eukaryota; Metazoa; Chordata; Actinopteri; Cyprinodontiformes; Rivulidae
Exons: 2
Source: RefSeq, a predicted model, not a curated record